RNAcentral lists this ribosomal RNA (21 nucleotides) under Bannozyma yamatoana. Its description in RNAcentral is "partial 26S rRNA". RNAcentral also lists the same sequence under 1 other name. Lineage: Eukaryota; Fungi; Basidiomycota; Microbotryomycetes; Chrysozymaceae. The record is from RNAcentral.
UAGACCUCAAAUCAGGCAGGA